Molecule: long non-coding RNA, 429 nt
Organism: Dicentrarchus labrax (European seabass)
Lineage: Eukaryota; Metazoa; Chordata; Actinopteri; Moronidae
Exons: 3
Source: RefSeq, a predicted model, not a curated record
AACCUAAAAGGACCUGCUGGGUCCAUUUGAAUAAAUCUUUCCCUGAAAAGACUCAACAACAACUAAAUGAAUGCUGGGGAAAAUAUGACAGUUAUAGCAAACACAGAUCAAACACGGAGUGAAACCCUGUCCGGGAAGUUGCACUUUGUGAAGGUGAAAAUUCCGCAAGCCGUUCUCCGGAGAGGGAGUGAUCCGCUCUCUCCUCUUCAAAGUGCCAGAAGUGACUCCCAGCACCCAGUUGGAUGUCUCCUUCACCCCGACCUUCCAGCGUCUGCCUGUAGUUAGGCCCUUUGAAAAAACAGUGUUUUCUGUGAACCGCGCUGGGCUAGUCGGAACUUUCUGUUUAUUUGGAGAUUUCUUUCCAAUCAGGUAUAAUUACUGACUGUAUUUUCUGUUGUGUUUUAAUUUAAAAAAAAAAAAAAAAACAUG